Molecule: non-coding RNA, 54 nt
Organism: Salmo salar (Atlantic salmon)
Lineage: Eukaryota; Metazoa; Chordata; Actinopteri; Salmoniformes; Salmonidae
Source: Rfam
UGCAUUCACUACUGUAAGUCGCUCUGGAUAAGAGCGUCUGCUAAGUACCUAAAA